GUCAACUUAAGUUACACAACAGAUAGUCAGGUUAUUGAAUCCACUGAGAAAAAUGGGAUUCCCAUUGGACAACAGGCUGGUUCUACCUGGAUAUACGUAUACCCAGAAGGACUUCGAGAAAUGGUGUUCUAUAUAAAGAGAAAUUACAACGAUCCUGCUAUUUAUAUCACUGAGAAUGGAAUGGCAGAUAAUUACUCCAUGUCAAUUAACGAUUUACUGAACGAUAGCCUGAGAAUAAAAUAUCACUAUCUUCAUCUAUCUUAUCUCCUACAAGCCAUCAAGGAAGGAGCUGAUGUAAGAGGGUAUUAUGUAUGGUCAUUUCUGGAUGAUUUCGAGUGGGAAUUUGGUUACACAUUUCGAUAUGG
This 365-nucleotide unclassified non-coding RNA is filed under the name Hevea brasiliensis (rubber tree). Lineage: Eukaryota; Viridiplantae; Streptophyta; Magnoliopsida; Malpighiales; Euphorbiaceae. The record is from RNAcentral.